This 254-nucleotide ribosomal RNA is filed under the name uncultured prokaryote. RNAcentral's name for it is "partial 16S ribosomal RNA". It matches the Rfam family "Bacterial small subunit ribosomal RNA", at positions 525 to 777 of the family's 1533-position model. The record is from RNAcentral.
ACGAGGGGAGCAAGCGUUGUUCGGAAUCAUUGGGCGUAAAGGGCGCGUAGGCGGCCUGCACAAGUCCAGGGUGAAAGCCCUCGGCUCAACCGAGGAAUUGCCUUGGAAACUGUGCGGCUUGAGUAUUGGAGAGGAAGGCGGAGUUCCCAGUGUAGCGAUGAAAUGCGUAGAUAUUGGGAGGAACACCGGUGGCGAAGGCGGCUACCUGGACAGUGACUGACGCUGAGGCGCGAAAGCUAGGGGAGCGAACGGGA